AUUUUUUUAAUAAUAAUGAUUUUUGUCCACCUUGAUAUUAUAUUAUCUAUCUUUGUCCUCAGAUUGUGUCCAGCUCAGUGUUUACCCGACCUCUGGAACUGAAGGAGGGAAAGCCAGCAGGAAAAGGCACCAUUACGAUUACAGCAGAGGAGAUUAAGGAUACCAGGGUUGUUAAUCUGGAAAUUGAAGCCCGAAACUUGGACAAAAAGGAUUUCUUAGGUAAAUCGGAUCCGUUUUUGGAGCUGUACAAGCAGAGUGAUGCUGGAAUGUGGCAGCUGGUGUACAGAUCAGAGGUGGUUAAGAACAACUUAAGUCCAUGCUGGAGGAAGUUCAGUGUUCCCUUGCAGACGUUCUGUGGUGGUGAUCUUAAUAAACCUAUCAAGGUACAGCCUUCAGAAAUUCAGAUUUGUUUGUUGUUGUAAGUAAUCCAGUCUCUGACAUAUUAGCUGUGAGUAAUCAAGUCGUCUAGUCACAUUUAAAAUUGU
Numida meleagris (helmeted guineafowl) is the source of this 485-nucleotide long non-coding RNA. RefSeq lists it as uncharacterized. The record is from RefSeq and is a predicted model, not a curated record. Lineage: Eukaryota; Metazoa; Chordata; Aves; Galliformes; Numididae. The transcript is spliced from 4 exons.